Molecule: ribosomal RNA, 779 nt
Filed under: uncultured Neocallimastigales
Lineage: Eukaryota; Fungi; Neocallimastigomycota; Neocallimastigomycetes; Neocallimastigales
Description: partial large subunit ribosomal RNA
Rfam family: Eukaryotic large subunit ribosomal RNA
Source: RNAcentral
AUAUCAGUCAUGCAUAGCAUAUCAAUAAGCGGAGGAAAAGAAACUAACAAGGAUUCCCCUUAGUAACGGCGAGUGAAGCGGGAAGAGCUCAAAUUUGAAAUCUUCAAGGGUUCUACCUUUACGAAUUGUAGUUUAUAGAAGUGUUUUCUGUUAGUAGAGUGGCAAAAGUUCUUUGGAAUAGGACAUCAUAGAGGGUGAGAAUCCCGUAUUUGGUCAUUCUUCCUAGCUUUGUGAUACACUUCCAACGAGUCGGAUUGUUUGGGAAUGCAGUCCAAAAUGGGUGGUAAAUUUCAUCUAAAGCUAAAUAUUGGCGAGAGACCGAUAGCGAACAAGUACCGUGAGGGAAAGAUGAAAAGAACUUUGAAAAGAGAGUUAAACAGUACGUGAAAUUGUCAAAAGGGGAGCGUUUGACACCAGUGUUGUUUUUCCGAAAAUCAAUUACGAAUGUUUUAUUUUUGAGGAGUUAUGACUUCAUCGGCUUGCUUCUCUCUUUAUGAAACUUUCUUAAUGCACUUUUCGGUUAACAAGUCAACAUCAAUUUCUUUUGUUGUAAAAGGGUAUGAGGAAGGUGGCUUUCUUUUCGGAGAAAGUGUUUAUAGCCUUGUACCUCUGCAAUCGGAGAGAUUGAGGUCUGCAGCGUAGAUCCUUCGGGGUUAGAUAGCAUUUGUGCUAAGUUAUAGCCUUUCAUAGACGACUUGUUGACUAUGAUUAGUCAUUGUAGCUUACUCGCUUACUGCUAUUUUACCUACGCUUAGGAUGUUGAUCUCUCACAGUCGAGC